This 2460-nucleotide unclassified non-coding RNA is filed under the name Hevea brasiliensis (rubber tree). The record is from RNAcentral. Lineage: Eukaryota; Viridiplantae; Streptophyta; Magnoliopsida; Malpighiales; Euphorbiaceae.
GAGAGAGCUAAAAUUUAAUAUGCUUAUUAUUUUUCAUAGGAAAUUGUACAUAGCUAAUCACCUGCCCCUCUUAUGUGAAUAUAAUAUGUUUCAGCCAAUGUUAUAACAAGUUUGUAUGUGCCAACUUUCCAGGAUUUCUAUCUUUCGCUUCCUUGCUCGUCCCUUUGGUCAGCUGGUUUACUUCCUGUAUCAGUUUUCCUGCACCUUUUCCCAGUUUCAGUAGUGGCUAGUGUUGCAUUGUUUGAAUUUCAAAUUAAUGUCAGAAUAAGUCACAUUUGUGUUCAGGGAAGAGUUCCUCCUGUAUCUUCUGGCUAGUUAUCACCUGUGUCCUCUUCUAUUUUGUGGCCUCCCAGUACUUUCCAGGAUCUAGCUGCUCUUCUCCAAGUACAAGUCUUUUUACUAGCAGGCUUUUGCAAAUAUGAAUUAUAAAUUAUUUGUUUAGAGCCUAUGCUAAUACAAAAAAAAAAAAAAGGAUAAUGCUUUAAAUUAAACCACUUAUACUGUUGUCUUCACCCACUAAUCUGCAGCUGAAAAUUCUGAUGGCUUGGAAAGCACUGAUGGAAAAUCUUAAAGCUCUCUCUUCUCCAACUGGCUUUUCCAGUCAUGGAGGCUGUGGAAAGCGUGAAAUGACCUGAUCUUGAAUGAUAAACAAUGGGGAACGCCAGAUAUUAUCAAUAAUGCAAUCCAUUAGGAAGAUGGAUUUAUCAGUUGGUGUUCCCAUCCAAACCUCACCUCUAGUUCUGCUACAUCAAUCAUCAUCUAUCUACUGUCAAAAAAGAGAGAUGUUCUUACUUUGUUCUGAUUAAUAUAGAGGAUACAAUGCAAACUUGUUCUUGUCAGCCUGCUAUAUAUUUAAUUUAUAAACCAAUGUCUCAAUUUGUAGCACUAAAUAACAGAAUGAUUAGGUAAAAAAACUCAAGAAUCAAAUGUUACUUCUUUUUUUUCUGUUUUCUGGAAUACACCAUCCCUCGGAUCCCAUCCGGAUCAGCCACAAAACCCAAGGGUCUAUAAAAGCCAAGAACCCGGGGCUCUGAAUACAAAGCAAUGUUCACAAUCCCCUUCCUUAACAGCUCCUGUACAAGUCUCUCCAUCACAGCCUUCCCUAAUCCAAUCCCCUGGUACGAAGGAUCCACCACCACGUCCCAGAUGAUGGCAUUGAAAACAUUGUCCCCUGUAGCUCUAGCAAAUGCAACUGGCUUCUGUGUUUUCUUGUGCUCCACCCAGAGGAGCGAGUUCGUGUUCUCCAAUGCCAGUUUGAUCUUCUCCUAUUGCCAGUUUGAUACCCAUAUAGCAAUUUUUUGUUUUUGGUUGACGGGGGAAUUUUUUGAGGGUUCUCAUUUGAGGAAUUGUCAGGUUGAAUGGGGAUUGAGACAAGUAAGGCUAACAAGAAGGAAAAGAACUCUUAUGAAUUGGAGAAAGAAAAGAAUCCAAUUCUGGACCCGUAUCCAAAUCCAGAAACCAAUACGAAUACCAAAGGGAAGAAGAGCCGGCGACGGCACCACAAGAAGGCGGUGGUGGUAUCGCCGAUUGAAAAACUGUAUGACACCUGCGAGGAAGUAUUUUCCGUUGGUGGCCCUGGAAUUGUUCCCCCUCCUGAUAAAAUCGAAAAGCUGAGGGCGGUUUUGGAUGACAUCAAACCAGAGGAUUUUGGUCUGAGUCCGGAGAUGCCAUAUUUUCGUGCACUUGCUGCUGGGAGAACCCCUAAAAUAAAAUACCUUUGUAUCCAUAUAUCUGACAAUUUCUCGAUGGGUUUCUGCUUCCCGCCAUCAGGUGUGAUACCCCUUCAUAAUCAUCCUGGAAUGACUGUUUUUUGCAAGCUACUAUUUGGGAAGAUGCACAUUAAAUCGUAUGACUGGGUGGUUGAUGGCCCUUGCAAUGUGUCUGCUGUGGCGAAUCCUUCCGAUGGUGAAUGUCUCUCUCUCUCUCUCUUAAAUGUGAUUAUUCAUACCUUAUGUGUGAUAUUGGAACCUUAUAAAUAGAAGUUGCUAGAGCAGCUUUAAACCUUGGUGGAACGAUGCUAGGUUACUAUCCUGUUAGAGUGUUACCUUCAAAAACUGCCAUCCUUCUAGUGAAUCCUACAUUUCUGCCUAGGGUAUGAAUAACUCUGGCCCUUUUUGGUUGUGUUAGCUUAUGUUUUUUUGUACUGUCUUAGCAUGUACUUAAGGUUGCAUGACACAGAUGGCUUUGCCAUUUUGCUAUAAGGCUUACUGAUUGCAGCUUGUUUCUUCAGACUUAUUUAAUUUUCCAGUUAAUAAUUCCAUUAAAUCUGCAGGCUUCUCAGGCUGAAGUAAAAAAUUUCUUUGAAUCAACCUGUGGUGAGGUGAGGACAGAAAUAAAAGAUAUCCCCUUCCCUCCCCAAAAAGAGUUGGCUGUAAGGAGCAUUCCAAUGUUUGACUGCCCUUUUUUUUCUUCUAUAUUUUUUCAUUCAUAUCAUAGGUUAUCCGCUUGAGGCUUUUGGGG